Molecule: ribosomal RNA, 924 nt
Filed under: uncultured marine bacterium
Lineage: Bacteria
Description: bacterial SSU rRNA
Rfam family: Bacterial small subunit ribosomal RNA
Source: RNAcentral
UGCAGUCGGACGAGAACCUUGGAGUUCGCUUUGGGGUUCUAGUGGCGGACGAGCGAGUAACACGUGAGCAACCUGCCCGAAAGAGGGGGAUAGCCCGGGGAAACUCGGAUUAAUACCGCGUAUGGUCUAGCAGGACAUCCUGCAAUGAUUAAAGGCGCCUUCGGGUGCCGCUUUCGGAUGGGCUCGCGGCCUAUCAACUAGUUGGUGAGGUAAUGGCUCACCAAGGUUACGACGGGUAACUGAUCUGAGAGGAUGAUCAGUCGCGCUGGAACUGAGACACGGUCCAGACACCUACGGGUGGCAGCAGUCGAGAAUCAUUCACAAUGGGCGAAAGCCUGAUGGUGCGACGCCGCGUGGAGGAUGACGGUCCUAGGACUGUAAACUCCUGUCAUCAGGGAGUAAAGCACAGGCGUUAAUAGCGUCUUGUGCCUGAUAGUACCUGAAGAGGAAGGGGCGGCUAACUCCGUGCCAGCAGCCGCGGUAACACGGAGGCCCCGAGCGUUGUUCGGAUUUACUGGGCGUAAAGCGUAUGUAGGCGGUUGGGUAAGUCAGAUGUGAAAUCCCGGGGCUCAACCUCGGAACUGCAUCCGAUACUGCCUGACUGGAGGGUUGGAGAGGAGACUGGAAUUCAUGGUGUAGCAGUGAAAUGCGUGGAUAUCAUGAGGAAGACCAAUGGCGAAGGCAGGUCUCUGGACAACUCCUGACGCUGAGAUACGAAGGCCAGGGUAGCGAAAAGGAUUAGAUACCCUUGUAGUCCUGGCAGUAAACGGUGUGCGCUUGGUGUGGGGAGAUUCGACCCCCUCCGUGCCGGAGCUAACGCGUUAAGCGCACCGCCUGGGGAGUACGGUCGCAAGAUUAAACUCAAAGAAAUUGACGGGGACCCGCACAAGCGGUGGAGUAUGUGGCUUAAUUUCGAUGCACGCG